Molecule: ribosomal RNA, 253 nt
Filed under: uncultured bacterium
Lineage: Bacteria
Description: partial 16S ribosomal RNA
Rfam family: Bacterial small subunit ribosomal RNA
Source: RNAcentral
UACGUAGGUCGCGAGCGUUAUCCGGAAUUAUUGGGCGUAAAGAGUUCGUAGGUGGUUUGGCAAGUCUGAUGUGAAAGCCAACGGCUUAACCGUUGAACUGCAUCAGAUACUACCAAUCUAGAAUUUAGCAGAGGAAACUGGAAUUCCAUGUGUAGCGGUGGAAUGCGUAGAUAUAUGGAGGAACACCGAUAGCGAAGGCAGGUUUCUGGGCUAUAAUUGACACUAAGGAACGAAAGCGUGGGUAGCAAACAGG